This 275-nucleotide ribosomal RNA is filed under the name uncultured prokaryote. RNAcentral's name for it is "partial 16S ribosomal RNA". It matches the Rfam family "Bacterial small subunit ribosomal RNA", at positions 524 to 798 of the family's 1533-position model. The record is from RNAcentral.
UACGAAGGGGGCUAGCGUUGCUCGGAAUUACUGGGCGUAAAGGGAGCGUAGGCGGACAUUUAAGUCAGGGGUGAAAUCCCGGGGCUCAACCUCGGAAUUGCCUUUGAUACUGGGUGUCUUGAGUAUGAGAGAGGUGUGUGGAACUCCGAGUGUAGAGGUGAAAUUCGUAGAUAUUCGGAAGAACACCAGUGGCGAAGGCGACACACUGGCUCAUUACUGACGCUGAGGCUCGAAAGCGUGGGGAGCAAACAGGAUUAGAUACCCCCGUAGUCCCU